CGCUAGGGCUAAUUUUGUAGGGAAUGCUAACACCACAUUUGCCAGGAAGACCAGCUGCAAGAUUUAAGUCAAUACCAGGAAUGGAGUUUGAAGCACUUUUCAAACAUUUGCAAGCCUGUUGGCGGUCAGCAGUGGUCUUAGCCGCCGCAUUAAGGCUCCUAACGCCGCUGCAGCAGGCUGGAGGAGGCGCAGCUACGCCUUUCCUCAGAUAGGGAAUACAUGCUGAUACUGAACUUGCCACCUGCCCACAUGUAAUUGCAGCUUCGGCCAGAGGUGCACCCACCACCAUGCACAUCACCAACACACAAGCUAACUUAGUAGCCAUUGAGCAAGCCAUUAUAUAUAAAUUAUGGCAAGUAUUAAAGAAGGAAGAGAGUUUAUGUAUAAAGAUACUUAGAAUAGGAAGUUGGGUGAGUUGUGAUGCUCUUAGGGAUGGUGUUUAUAUAGGGCAAGGAAGUCCAUGGAGAUUUUUCUUUUUCUUUUCUUUUUUUUUUUUUAAGAAUAAUGUAGAUGGCAAUUUCACACGUCACUUUCCUAUAUUUAAUUCAUUAUAUCCUUAAUUAGUUGGGAAAUUUAUGUACAUCAUGCUAAAAAUAGCGAGAAUUAAGAGUAUAUAUAUAUAUUUUUAAAAAAAGGAACAACUGAGUGUGUUAGUUACUUACCCGACUUCCGCUCGGGCCACCAGUCACGUGACUUCUAGACAUCAUGUAUAACGGAAUGUUAUCGUAGAGGAUCGAAUCUGGAUUAAGCAGGCAAAUAUCUUUAUCACCUCGGAUGGUAAGAGUUUAUUGUUUCACUUUAGAACGUGUUUGGACGAGAUGAGAAAAAAUUUAUUGAAGGUAAAGUAAUAUAAGGUAUGGUAAAGUAAAAUAAUAUAUAUAUAUAUAUAUAUAUAUAUGAAGGUAUGAUACAUAAGUUUAGGAAUAUUAUAUUAUUUGAUUUGAAUAUGAAAAAAAAAAAAAACCCUUCUUGUGAAAAUUGUUAUUUGGUCAGAAGUAUUUUUUUUCAAACUUUUUUUUCAAACAAUCUUAACUAUUUAAUUUUAUCUUAUGUUAUUCUCAAACCUUCAAAAAAAGAAGCAACAAUUUUCAUACCCAAAACUUUUAGUUAAAGUAGAAAGAAUCAUGACCGCUCCAUCUCAAUCAACCAACAUCGGUAGAUAAUCUCUAAUUUGUUUUUUUUUUUUUUUUAUUAUUAUUAACAAUUAUUUUUAUGAUUUUUUUAAAAAGGGAAUUCAUUUAUUUGAUUGUAGUUAGAGUAAUUCUUGAAGUAUAUUAGAAAAAUAUUAACUCAAAUUUAUUGCUUUUAUUAUCUUAAUAGCCAUAUGCUUUGGAUCCAUGUAAAAAUAAAAAUAAAUUUAUUAAUUGUAAAAUACAGACUAGAUAUUAUUCAAAAUUAUUAAAAAAUUAUUUCUAAUGUGUGGUUGUGCACAUGCGAUUUAUUCCAAUCAACCAAAAGAUCUACACGUGGCAUUCAACAAUAAUUAACCUAUAAAAAGGAUGUGACGUUCAAAAAAUAAAAACAACAAGGCCUUAAUUUGUUCAUUCACUUUCUUUUGUGGUGAACUGGCUAGUACUUAACCCCUUUAUUUUACAAAAAUUUUAAUUUUAAUUUUUUUUAGAAAUAUAAUAAAAAUAAAAAAUUUUGAUUCAAUUAAUUAAAUUGUAACUUAAUUAUCAAUUCGGUUGGAUCUCCCCUAUGAUUCCAAAACAUUUAAAUAAGAAGAUAGAAACAGAAAUCUAAUUUCAUUCCCAUUCUUGAAUAAGAAAUUGAUCUUCCACCCCUUAAUUAUUUGUCUUUUUUUUUAUAUCACAUAUGUCCUUAACAAUGAAAAGCUACCUUAAAGAGAGGGCAGGCAGGUCGGCAAUUGUCUCCCUUCUCUUUAAAAAAGAAAUCAAGAAUAGCUCACUUCGGCUUUCGGCUACCAUUGUUCCAUAAAAUAUAACAUACUUUCAUUACUUUGUCCCUUCUAAUUAAUAUAUUCAAGUAUUUUUCCUUUUUGAUUUUAAUCCUUAGCUUCAUUAUCUGGUCUUUAGUCUAUUGAAUUAGGUCUAAUUCUAUUGGUACUAUAACAAAAAAGCAUUUUUAGAGAAAAUUUUCUUCAUUUAUAAAGACGAAAAACUCAAAUUUUUAUUUAAAAGAUCUAGAAUAUCAUUUCAAUUGAGAUGAUCGCAGGUAUUGAUUUUUAAUUAGUCGGUUUUAAUAAAUGAUGGGUGCUUUCAUAUUUAGAAGACAGUUAGGGACCUUGAAAUUAAAUACUACAAGUGUAAAUGACAAACCAAUAAAAAGGUAGAUUGAUAAGCACCUCUCAAUGGAGACAGUUGUACAAUUGUACUGCCAAAAAUUCAAUGUUAGUAAUGAGAUAAAAACGAUGGAUAACCACCAAAAUGUUUGGAUUCUAUAUUUUCUUUACGAGUGUCGGACUGUCCUUUUUUUUAUAUAAAAAAAAUUGGAAUAUUAGGAUUUAUUAUUAAAAAAUCGAUAAAACUAGUAUGUGAAUCAAAUCACACUUUAAGCUGUUUUUAUUAACAAAUCAGCAACUAAAUAAGAAGAGUCUAUUCGGUAAAAUUAAUUAUUUUGACGGUGGUUAUCUAUAACUACAUAAGAAGAGUAUUAUUUGAUAAAAUUAGUUGUUUUGAUAGUUGUUGUCUAUAUCAAUCUAUCUGUUUAAAAAUAAUAUUUUAUUUAUUAAAUUGGAUACGAUUUAAAAUUAAGGUGCUAUUAUAAUCAAAAUUAAAAUUCAAGAUACUAGAAGAGGAAAAUUAGAUUUAUAAAUACAGUUAAAACUACUCGCUAAGUUUAGAAUUUAAUAAUAAUUUAGCCAGUUAUAAAAAGGUAAAAAUAAAGAAAAACUAAUUUUAUAGAUGCACAAUUAUCUAAUUGAAAAAAUAGAUCAAUAAUAGCACAAAAUUUUAUACAUCAUAUGAUAUAUAUUUUGAAUUAACAUUAAAAAAUAAUAGUAAUUUUUUUUUUUUUGGUAUAUCUAAUGACUUUUUUGAAUUAAAAUUAGAGUUAAUGAUUAAUUAUAUAUAUUAAUAGGGUGAAAAGUUCAACUUUAAAGUUUGAAGCGGUCUCGGUGGAGGAGAUUGAAUCAAAUAAUUGUAUCCUUUUGUUCUUUACGGGGAAAUUAAUUGUUAACUGUUUUAAUUGCAUUUAACGGUUAGUUGUUUGAGUAAAUUUUUAUAAAAUAUUACUAAAGUUAAUUUUUAUAAAAAAAAUGUCGUAUUAAUCUCGAAAAAUUAAUUCAAAUAUUAUAUUAUCAAAUACUAUAAAAAAUAAUAUUUAAUAAAUUGACUAAUUAAAAUAUCAAAAUCUAUUUAAAAAGUCUCACUGAAUACAUCACAAGCUGGAUAAAUCUGAGUAGUACAGGGAAGAGUAGCUUUUAUUUCCUUGAAGUAGUACAGGGAAUAGAAGAAGAAAAAGUCAAUUUGAUGAUCUUUUCCUUGAAUUAUGGUGAUAUUUGGUUGAUAGUGAGUAGCACAGGGAAGUGUAGCUUCUGGAAAGUGCAAAAUGGUUGUAUUUGAUUUAUAUUAUCAAUUCUAGAAAGUAGAUCCUUCAAUUUUUCUUCUACAAAAAAAGUAGUGUUCUCAGGACGUUGUACUUCCUUAGUUAAAUAUAAUGAAUUUACUAAUUUAUCAUUCUAUCUAAACACGCUUAAAAUUAUGUUAUGAACAUUAUUAUCUUUUAUAAUUUCAGAGCAAUUUACUUCCCAACAGUGACAGCUUGGAUCUUUUCAUAGGAGCCAAAAUAUAUUUAUCGUUUCAUACAACGAACAACAAAUGUAUAUUUUAGCAUUUUUCAUUAAUAAACAAUUUUUUGUAUGGAAUAAUUCCAAUUUUUGAGAGUUUUAUAUUUUUGUUUAGCAACCUUACUAUUUCUACAUUGCACUUACUGUAACAUAUGAAUUUUACAUGAUAAGUCUCCUUUAUGAGUUUAGUAGAGGAUUAAUAACUAAAUUGUUAUAGGUUUAAUUCUCUCUCUCUCUCUCUCUCUCUCUCUCUCUCUUUUAUAUUUUUUUUCUUUUACUCAAGUUUUUAUUGAUGAAUUUUGUCUGAUAGUAACUAAUCAAAAUUUAUCUUAUUUUUUUUUUUUAAAAAAUAAUAAUUUAAUAAAAAUAUAUGAAAUUCCCCAUAUUCCCACCAAAUAUGGCAAGGACAUGUUGAAUGAUCUAAAGCUGGAUAAUAACUCAGAAGAGGAGAAGAUCUUUUGACCUUAUAUGAUCUCUUUGAUGACAAGACCUUCAAAAUAAGUUGGUCUGAAAUGUAUAUACAUAUUUGAAUAAGUUCCAUACAUAAAAGUAAACGAAAAUAGAAAGCACUCAGGAUUUACUUACAGAGGAAAAACAAUACAAUACAAACAUUAAAACUUGCGAACGUCCGGAUACUGCUUCAACACUUCCCUCAUUAUAUCUAUUGCACAACAGUGCUUUUUCAUCUCAAAGUCAUCACGGGCCAUGAAUUGACCCCAGAUGCUGGCAACAAAGGCCGUGCUACGGGGACCCAUCUCGCUGCUGAAAAUGCUUCAUUAAGACGUGCAGCGCGACUCAUGAACUGGGAAACCUUCUGCAGAUGGAGAUUAGAAAUAGAACUCAACAUUUAUAUAGAAAUCAGAAAUCAAAAUCAAACCAAAGCUCGACAAUCAUGUCCUCUUUCAACUUUUGUAAAACAGUUUCUGAAUUCCCAUAAAGUAAGGUAAUUUGCAAUAGAGAGAAAAUGUUGUUGCAUUAAGUUUGAAGAGAACAGACCAUGUCUGCUCAGAUUAUAACUUGGGAACAAACAGAACCGAAAAAAUCCUUACUGCCUGCGAAACCUAUAUACAAGUCUCAAAACUAUUUUAAUUAAGAGCAUAAUUGACAAAGAAUGUGAUUGCAAAACCAGAAAUAAUCUUUCAAACAGAAGUUUGUGAUGUGCAGGCGCAUAAAGACAGCAAAUAUAUACAGGAUAUGGGAAUUCACACUUGUUUCUCUUCUAAAGGCUAAUAAUGGAAAGAAAAAUCUUGAAAUAACAGCUUGAGAGGAUUCAACUAACAUCCCUUGUGUUCUAUGAGGACAACCUAAUCUCCAUCAGUUGCAAGUGCAAAUACAAAAUGACGAAAUAGGUUAAAAACAAACAUUUUGAUGACCAGAAUAUAUACAAAGAAAGAAAGACAGAGAACCUAGUAUAGAAUGUACAUAAUGCUCAAGAUAAGUUUUAAUAAGAUUGAAAGUGAAGCAACCAAGUAGAGCAAAAACAAUUACACAGCUGAGAAAGAUAUUCAAGUCCCCAACAAAGUAUUACUUGAUUGUUCUGCAUGUUUAUAAUUCACAAGCAGCAGACAAGGGAUUAAAAAUAUUCUGUCAAAUAGAUAUCAGUAAGUUACGCUGCCCUUGCAGACUCGACUUCCUAAAAACAAAAACAAGCCAAGCUCCAGAACAUUUAAAGGCAACUGCUAAUAAUUUUCAGAACCAAAAUAUUGAACUUCAUCUCACGUGUCAUCUUAAAUAACCCAGAAACAUCCCCCUGGGUGGCAUAGAAAUGCAGGACAGUGUUAGGCUUAUUCAUAAAGCAUAAUGGCGAGCCUUUCUCAAGGCUUGUAAAUCGCAUCUAUAUAUCUCCUAUUCCCUAUUCGUAAAGUAAUGAAGAGUAUGGCACACCCUAUUUGAUUGUUUCAUGUAAAGUAAUGUUAUGAACCAACCUAACUCGAGUGGUUGGAAAAAGAGAAAGGGAAGGAAAAUACUGAUUAGGACUUGGUUUAUAAGAAAACAACUAAAGUGACUAAUUAGACUAAGUAAAUGACAUCAUCAAUACAAAAUGACCUCCUACUCACUAAAUAUAUGCUUGUGUCCUAAAUCUUAGCUAACCAUCAUGAGCCUCUCCUGGUGACAUCACCUUAGAGUCCCUGAGCGCCUGCAUAGUGCAUACCAAGCAGACUACUUUAGAUAACAUCCUUAUUGCUUAUGAGUGCUUCUAUUAUACAAGGGUAAAAAAGAGGGGAAGAAGGAGGUUUCCAGCAUAUAAACUAAACAUGUCUAAGGCUUCUAACAGGGAAGAAUAGGCAUUCUUGGUCAAAGGUAGAUUGUGCAUUCUGAGGCUUAGUUUGCUUCCAGAUUGGGCUCGGCUGAGAAAUGGAUUUACCUUAGGUAUGAAGUGUGUGUCUGCUGUGAAUUAUUCUAUUUUUAUUAAUGCCUCCCCAGUUGCUAAUAUCAAUCCAACAAGAAGACAUUCCAUUGAAGAUUGUUAUUUAUGUUCAUAUGCCAGCUAAGAAACUUUGCUGUGAACUCAGUUAGAAUAGUUAGCUUGUAACACAAGUCUGUUAACUUGUUAGAAGUAAGUUUGGUUAUCUGUUAGUAGCUGAGUUUGUUAGACUUUUAGUUAGAUGUAAAAAAAGUCAACAGAAACGGUUAUCAUUUGGCAACAUUUUUUAAAAAAUAACUUUGCAUCUCAUAUUUAAGAGUAAUGCAAUAUACAACCAUCUUCUUCAAUAUUCUUCUUCUCUUGUUACUGUACAUCUAAAUCUCAGAUUCUCUGAGUUUCUCUUCAUCUAUGUAUGUAUUUUGGUGCAGAGGGUUUGUCAGAUCUCAGCCAAAGGGCCAAAGCCAAAAACAAAGGUAGUCUCAGUAGGGUGAAAGUUUGAAGGAUAGCACCAAUCAUAUUACUUACUAUUCAUUGAUGAUAGUAUCCUUUUCUCAAAAGCAUUCCGCAAAGAUCCUUAAUCAUUAAGGAGGUUCUCAAAAAAAUGAGCUAGUAGGGGUGAACAAAGGUCAGUUCGGUGCAACCAAGGAGGAAAAAAACAAAAUUUUAGAAUGUCAAACAGAACCGAAAUUGAUGUCACCGGACCAGCUCAGUAUUUUGAUCAUUGUUGCCAUUUGGUUCGGUUUUAAGCCUAACCGAUUAAUUUUUACAAACCCGAGCCGAACCAAUAGAAAUUUUCGGUCUAAACCAUUUAAACCAACAAAUGAACUUCCUUGUGAGCAGCCUGACUGAACCGAAUCGGGUCGGUUUGGCUUUCAGUCAGUAGUUUUGCAUGCCCCUAAAAGCAAGCAUCUAGUCAAAAGAUGAAGUAGGAUAAAAAUCAAGGAUUACUGGUUGCUUGCUGUAGCAAUGCAUCCAGAUAUGCAAGGAGUCAUCGAAUUAGCAUCCUGAAUGUGAGGUAGAUUGAUGAAUAUGAAAAUACUUGGGUUUACCUACUGCUAUCAGGAGGAGAUCAAUAAAGGUUGGUUCAGUUCAGUUAAGGAACUCAUGUAGAAGAAAACUCUGACACUGGACAGGAAAGUCGUUGUAGAGGGCAAAGUUGUUCUGAGGGGCCUAAGAAGAAGGUUCUUAUCAAAUAUAUAAUAUAGCCCAAGCAAUAACUAUGUUUACAAUGUCCUUUUCCACUGCCUUAGAGACUUUUUGAUAUAAUAAAUUUGUGAUAUUGAAGUUGUGAUGGGGCCACAAAUAGAAUAAACAGAAAAUUCAUUAAUUAAGCUGGACCAAGUGUGUGCAUCCAAAGCAGAUGGAGGACUAGAUUUUAGUGUUAUCCAUUCCUUUAGUUAUCAGUUCAAAUGUAAUUCCUUUAUUUUAGCUUUCCUUGUAAAAUAAGCUUUGCAAGUACUAAAAGAAUCCAGUGUCUUUGAUUCUUUCUGCUAAUGUUGGAUUCUCUCCAAUCUACAUGUUGUGCAAUAUAUGUUUAGCAAGGAAUUUAUUGACACAAGGCAAGAGGCAGGUUAUGGAGGACAAGGAAUAUUAAUAUAUGUAAUAACUAAUGGUAAAAAGAAAUAGAUUUCAUUCCUUUCACAUGUUUAAACUAAAUAACCCCCAUGUGAAAUGCUACAGACAAUUAAUACUGAGCUGCUGAAUGAAUGGCUGAUUGAAGUCUUUUCUACAAGUAGAUGUUGAGAGAAUCUCGGAGAUUCCUCUUCACUUCCAAGCACCAGGUGAUAGUAAAGGCUAUAUUGGGUGGGCCAUUGUCAAUUUCAACGCAAGAAAGUAAUAUCCUUUAUUUUUUCCCGUCCUAUUAGCGUAUGAAUCAAAUAAAAAACAUUCCCUUUGAGCAUCAUUUAGCCAUCAAAAACUAAAAUGCUUUUUGAGCAUUACUUGGUCAACAAUCUUGAUUAUUCUCCCAUAUUCCUAACUUUUCUGCAAUUAUAAUCCAUAUAGUUUUACAGAUUCCCUCUUCCAAUAUCUCAUACUUCUAAGUAACUUCAGAAACUCCUAACUUGAGCCAUCUCAUAACAGAUCCACUCAUUUAAUUCCAUAUUUGGCCAAUCAUGACCAGCUAGACACCAAGAACUUAUAUUGGAUAACUCAUCUACUGGUGGUGGCGAUGCCAUAUUCCACCCUUAUUUCAUCAAGCAAAGGCUACUUUAAGAAGAGGAGGAAAGACAGAAGAAAAGGGAGCAGGGUGUGUUCCAACCACUAUCUUAACCCAAGUUCCUAGAUUGAAAGGCGGCCAGGAAUAUAUGCAGAGGAAAUGCAGCUCCCAAGCACUCUGCGCAGUUGCACUCAAAAGGAAUAAUAAUCUAUUUCAUAAAGAUAUGUUAACUUUGAAAAUCUAAAAGAAAAAAAUGUUAGGACUUGUCAUAACAAGAAAUGGCAAGUCAAAAAAUUAGUCCAGCCAAGAACAUAGACAGCUAAAAAGAAGCUGUCUGAAUCUCGAUGAGAAAUCUAGAUUAGAGUUAGAACACUCUACAGAUGCAACUAACGAAAAAUUCAGAGCGAUAACUCAUAAUUAGCACUUGACAAAUUUAACCAUAUCAUCACCACCUGAAAUGCACAAAUUAAAUAAAAAUAACGACUGACCUUGUCAUCCACAGUGACCUUAAGCGGCAAGCCACUUGUCUUGCGCUUCAUCUUGUACAAUCUCUGUCCCAAGAUAAAAAAUCCCAUAACAGCUGCAGCCAUAGAGAAAGUCCAAACAGGACUGAUCCUGAAAACGCAAUAUCUCAACAACUCAAAAGGAACCUUCCACCAUACUACCUUCCUGUUCUCCUCAUCACCUACUGGCUUCCUUUCACCGACUGCAACAAUGCUCGUAUUUUCCUCUUUUGAGGCAUUUCCAAUGUUGGAUUCACCCAAAAUCUCAGAACCCUUUGUCACUCUCUCAACAUCACCAAAAACCAGACUAUCACCACCUGAAUUAGACCAGAACUUGCUAAAAUCCUUAUCCUUACUAUGGUUUUCUCCAAAUUCUUCAAAACCAGCCUGGUUUUUCACAUUCGCAUCAAAGCCGACUUCAUUUUUACCCUCCAAACCACUAAAAUUACUCUCAGUAGACUCAAAUUUCCCUUCUUUACCUUCAAUUUCUCCAGGUCCUUCAAAAACAACUUCAGUUUUCACAUUUUCCACAAAACCCAAUUCACUUUUCAUAUCAAAAUCAGUAAAUUUACGCUCACCAGAGCGAUUACUACCGGAAUCAGACCAAAAUUCACCAGAAUUCCUCCUCUGAUAUCGAGUUUCCGGCCCAGGAUCAAUCCAACUAGGAUUAUCAGACUCAAUAAAACCCUGGUCACUAGCAUCGACAGCAGUUUUAGGAUAUCUCUUAGCAUUUUCAAGAGUGAAGUAAUCUAACCUGAGAACACCUUCAGAUUCAGCCUCAAUUUCUUCAAUAUUCCUCGAGUUAUUCACCGAGUUAACCCCAUCUGUAUCCGAGUUGACAAGGAGCUCCCAGUCUUGAAACUCAGCUGAAGCAGCUCCGUCCAUGAUCCUUAAAUGGGAGAAUCAAAACAGAGACCCAAAACGAAAGAAAAGAGAAAAAUUUAACUAAAAAUUAAUAGUAUCAUAGAGGAAAGAUAGGCUUACAGGAAAAUGUUAGUUUUAAUAGGUGAUCCUCGCACACAGUUAGUUGGUCUUCCCACUGAAUCUUCUUCCACUUUCUUUUUCCAAAUUUAUUAUUAUUGAAAAAAAUAAAAACUUUCAAAAUACAUUUAAUAUAUUUUAUCAUUAAAAUUCAAGAUAUGAUUGACAUAUUUACAUUAAAAUCAAUAUUGAUUAAUAUUUUAAUUGAAUAUUUCAAUAUUAAGAAAUUUAAUUUAUUUCAAUAUUAAUUAAAAAUUAGUGCACAUUAUAAAAAAAAAAAAAAAAAAAAAAGAGAGAGAAAGAAAUAGAACAUUGCAUUAAAAGAAAAAAAAAAGGUAAUCACCACAAUGUUUUGAAAUAAAAUUUUUGUCGGACGAGUUUCCAUGAAUGAAUGAAUAUUAAGGAAAGAAAAAGAAACUCUUUCAAAAAAAAAAAAAAAAAAGGAAAGAAAAAGAAAAUUAACCAAUCAAUCAACAACUCUAUUACCCUCUUAAUUGACAAUUUUUGAAAAAAAAAAGAAUUAUUUAAUUUUUUUUCAAUCAUAAAAAUAUUUUACAAAAUUAUUUUGAUCAGAGCAAUAUCCGAUCUUAAAUAUUUAUUAUAUUUAUAUUCCAAAAUAUUUAUUAUAUUUGUAGUUUCUUUUCGUAAUUUCAAAAAUAAUAAUUUUUUUUUAUAUUUUAUCCUUUUUAUAUGACCAACAAUUAUUAUUUUAAUCACUCAAAAAAUUAAUAUUUAAAUAUAUUCAAUUAAAGAUAAUAUAGAUAAUUUAUUCAAUAAUUUAUUAUAAUUUAAAUAAAUUUAAUAAUUUUCUAAGAGACGUAAAAUUUUGAAAAUGCAAGUGUUUCCAAGCCAAUGGAAUUGCAACAUGUAAUGGGAAGUAGCGUGAUGAUGUGCAGUGAAUUUAUUCCUUUAUUGAGGGCAAGGGAAGAGAAAGAGACGCAUCCUUUUCAGGGCAGAGGGAAAAUAUAGAGGAGAAGAUGACAAGUUGGGUUGGAUAAAGAGAGGCAUUUUUAUUAGGUGUGCCUCUUGAGGAGACUAAUUAAUGAAAUUUUCUAAUCACAUGUGCAUUUCCAAGUUGAAAUCCUUGCUUCUUCUUCACCACUUUAAGGUUAAUAGACAAAGAAUCGUUGAAAUUAUACUAAUUAUUAUCUCUGUUAUAUAAUAUUUAUCAAAUUUAAAAUUUCACGUUCCUUAAAAAAAUUAUUAAAUUUGUCUAAAUUAUAAUAAAUUGUUGAAUAAAUUGACUAUAUUACUUUUAAUUUAAUACUAAUUCCCUAAAAAAACUAUUAAAUUGAAGUAAUAAUUAUUGGUCACGUACAAAAGGUAAACAUGGAAAAAAAAAUUAUUACUCCUUGAAACUAUAAAUGUGACAAGUAUUUUAGAACAAACUAUUUUCUUAAAUAUAAUAAGCAUUAUGGAAGGGAGGUAAUAAAUGUUAUGUUAAGCUUUAAAAUUAGGUAACAUGACAAAGUUAAUGAUCAUUAUAACAGUCGAGACCAAAUACAUUAUUUAACUCUUAAAUUUCAACAAAAUGUUGCACCUUGAACUAUAAUAUCGAUCUUGUGGCACCCUAAAUUUCAUCUUCAUUUUUUGGCUUUUAUAUGCAAAAUGUUGGUGUUAAUAUAACUUUUGGAAUUUUUACAAUUUUUAUUUUUUCAAUAACUGUUCAAUCAAUCUAAUUUUAUAAAUUGAAGUGUUUAAUAGGUCAAACAAAAGUUGAAAGUGCCAUAAAAUUUUUUGUAAAAUGUAGACGGUGAAUUUAUGGAUUUAGCCUCCCAUUGAGCCUAACAGUCAAAGAUAAUAGUGUAACAAAAUUGACAAUCGCCCAAAAAAAAUAAAUAAAUAACUGAGAAGAGAAUGGCCAAACUGUGACUAACAGCUCAAAGCCAAAAUGUCAACUAUGAAGAAAAUAACAUUCUUCUAUCAUAUUGUGUUGACAGGUACACAAAUUCUCACCCUUAUGUCAAAAAAUAGGGGGGAAGCUAUUGCAAUUUCGUUGAACAACAAAGAGCAGAAGUGACAUAAUUGCGACAUAUAAGCAACAUAAGGCUUUCUAUCUUUUCGGUAUAUAAAAACCACAUUGUGCGAUAUACCCAUUAACAUUAUAUAGAUAUGUGUGUGAAGCACAUAUCAUAUAUGACGUGGUGCAGGCUGUGAUGCAAUGGUUCGAUUUUGUGUUGAGCAGAUGAGAUUUUCAUAAGCUCAACCAUCUCCUAAGUUCAUCAACAAAUGUACUUCUAGGAACCUCUUCUUCAACUGUGGUUUCGAGGUUCUUUAUUUUUACAAUCGCUUUCUCUAGCUCCUUUUCGCCCACGAGUACCAUCCAUGGAAUUCUAGACUCUUUUGCACAGUCAAUGUGCUUACUGAACCUUGUACUCGCAAUGUAUUCUGCUUUCAACUUGGCAUUCCACAUUUCACUAGCGAGCUCUGCGGCUAAAGAUAAUUUAGUUUUAUCCCCUAGUAUGUUCAGCAGAACUUGCGUCUCAGUUGGUCGGGUUGUCUGCCAACACCCAGAAGAACAAGAUUCAUCAGUUCAAUUUGUUAUACAAUUGAAUAAAUGUCUGAACAUGACGAAAAGACAAAAACCAAAUUCACUAGCUGUUUAACAAUAGCAAAUCCAUACAAGAACUAUAUCAGUUGAUUAUCUGUUAAUAAUAGUUUUAUUUAACAAAGAGUGAACUGGAAAUCUUGGUUUGAUUAAAUUAAAGAUCGAGUUCCAUUUUGGACGGAAUUGGCAAAUUCAUAUGUUAUUUCACUUUUGCAGAUCUGAAUUCUGAAAUCAAAAGACACAGCAACUUUUUCAACCAAAGAAAUUUAAAAUUUAAAAAUAAAGCAAAACCGGAUGCAUCUAAAUAGUUAGGAACAGUGUUGGGGAUGAUAAACAAUGGAAUAAGAAAAAGUUCAAGGAAU
This 12665-nucleotide long non-coding RNA is filed under the name Jatropha curcas. Its description in RNAcentral is "long non-coding RNA (JCUR_LNC002625)". The record is from RNAcentral. Lineage: Eukaryota; Viridiplantae; Streptophyta; Magnoliopsida; Malpighiales; Euphorbiaceae.